This 347-nucleotide ribosomal RNA is filed under the name uncultured Mycoplasmatota bacterium. RNAcentral's name for it is "bacterial SSU rRNA". It matches the Rfam family "Bacterial small subunit ribosomal RNA", at positions 28 to 375 of the family's 1533-position model. Lineage: Bacteria; Bacillati; Mycoplasmatota. The record is from RNAcentral.
GAUGAACGCUGGCGGCGUGCCUAAUACAUGCAAGUCGAACGCACCAUUUCGGUGGUGAGUGGCGAACGGGUGAGUAACACGUAGGUAACCUGCCCUUAAGACGAGGAUAACCAAGGGAAACUUUGGCUAAAACUGGAUAGGAACAUUGGAGGCAUCUCUGAUGUUUUAAAAGACCUAGCAAUAGGUAUGCUUAAGGAGGGGCCUGCGGCGCAUUAGUUAGUUGGUGAGGUGAAGGCUUACCAAGACGAUGAUGCGUAGCCGGACUGAGAGGUUGAACGGCCACAUUGGGACUGAGAAACGGCCCAAACUCCUACGGGAGGCAGUGCCAAGGCACACAGGGGAUAGGG